GACGAACGCUGGCGGCGUGCUUAACACAUGCAAGUCGAGCGGUAAGGCCUCUUCGGGGGUACACGAGCGGCGAACGGGUGAGUAACACGUGGGUGACCUGCCCUCAGCUCUGGGAUAAGCCUGGGAAACUGGGUCUAAUACCGGAUAUGACCUUUCCUCGCAUGGGGUUUGGUGGAAAGUUUUUUCGGCUGGGGAUGGGCCCGCGGCCUAUCAGCUUGUUGGUGGGGUGAUGGCCUACCAAGGCGACGACGGGUAGCCGGCCUGAGAGGGCGACCGGCCACACGGGGACUGGGCCACGGCCCAGACUCCUACGGGAGGCAGCAGUGGGGAAUAUUGCGCAAGGGGCGGAAGCCUGACGCAGCGACGCCGCGGGGGGGAGGAGGGCCUUGGGGUUGUAAACCUCUUUCGACCCCGACGAAUUUGACGGUAGGGGUAGAAGAAGCACCGGCCAACUACGUG
Molecule: ribosomal RNA, 459 nt
Filed under: uncultured bacterium
Lineage: Bacteria
Description: partial 16S ribosomal RNA
Rfam family: Bacterial small subunit ribosomal RNA
Source: RNAcentral